Molecule: ribosomal RNA, 211 nt
Filed under: uncultured bacterium
Lineage: Bacteria
Description: partial 16S ribosomal RNA
Rfam family: Bacterial small subunit ribosomal RNA
Source: RNAcentral
GUCGUCUCAGUUCGGAUUGGAGUCUGCAACUCGACUCCAUGAAGCUGGAUUCGCUAGUAAUCGCGCAUCAGCCAUGGCGCGGUGAAUACGUUCCCGGGCCUUGUACACACCGCCCGUCAAGCCAUGGAAGCCGGGGGUGCCUGAAGUGCGUGACCGCAAGGAGCGCCCUAAGGUAAAACCGGUGACUGGGGCUAAGUCGUAACAAGGUAAC